RNAcentral lists this ribosomal RNA (468 nucleotides) under uncultured bacterium. Its description in RNAcentral is "partial 16S ribosomal RNA". It matches the Rfam family "Bacterial small subunit ribosomal RNA", at positions 28 to 507 of the family's 1533-position model. The record is from RNAcentral.
GAUGAACGCUGGCGGCGUGCUUAACACAUGCAAGUCGAACGGAAAGGCCCUGCUUUUGUGGGGUGCUCGAGUGGCGAACGGGUGAGUAACACGUGAGUAACCUGCCCUUGACUUUGGGAUAACUUCAGGAAACUGGGGCUAAUACCGGAUAGGAGCUCCUGCUGCAUGGUGGGGGUUGGAAAGUUUCGGCGGUUGGGGAUGGACUCGCGGCUUAUCAGCUUGUUGGUGGGGUAGUGGCUUACCAAGGCUUUGACGGGUAGCCGGCCUGAGAGGGUGACCGGCCACAUUGGGACUGAGGUAGGGCCCAGACGGCUACGGGAGGCAGCGGUGGGGAACAUUGCACAAUAGGCGGAAGCCUGAUGCAGCAACGUCGCGUGCGGAAUGACGGCCUUCGGGUUAUAAACAGCUUUCGCCUGAGACGAAGCGUGAGUGACGGUAACGGGUAAAAAAGCACCGGCUAACUACGUG